UACGGAGGGUGCGAGCAUUGUUCGGAAUUACUGGGCGUAAAGCGCGCGUAGGCGGGUCUUUAAGUCGAUUGUGAAAGCCCAGGGCUUAACCCUGGAAUUGCAGUCGAUACUAUUGAUCUUGAAUACCUGAGAGGGUGUCGGAAUUCCCGGUGUAGGAGUGAAAUCCGUAGAUAUCGGGAGGAACAUCCGAGGCGAAGGCGGACACCUGGUGGUGUAUUGACGCUGAGGCGCGAAAGCGUGGGGAGCAAACAGG
Molecule: unclassified non-coding RNA, 253 nt
Filed under: uncultured Oligoflexaceae bacterium
Lineage: Bacteria; Pseudomonadati; Bdellovibrionota; Oligoflexia; Oligoflexales; Oligoflexaceae
Description: contains 16S-23S intergenic spacer region
Rfam family: Bacterial small subunit ribosomal RNA
Source: RNAcentral